RNAcentral lists this ribosomal RNA (466 nucleotides) under uncultured bacterium. Its description in RNAcentral is "partial 16S ribosomal RNA". It matches the Rfam family "Bacterial small subunit ribosomal RNA", at positions 28 to 507 of the family's 1533-position model. The record is from RNAcentral.
GACGAACGCUGGCGGCGUGCUUAACACAUGCAAGUCGAACGGAAAGGCCUCUUUCGGGGGGUACUCGAGUGGCGAACGGGUGAGUAACACGUGAGUAUCCUGCCCUUGACUUUUGGAUAUCUUCACGAGACUGGGGCUAUUACCGCAUAGAAGCUCCUCCUCCAUGGUGGGGGUUGGAGAGUUUGGGCGGUGGGGGAUGUACUCGCGGCUUAUCAGCUGGUUGGUGGGGUAGUGGCUUACAACGGCUUUGUCGGGUAGCGGGCUUGAGAGGGUGACGGGCAAAUUGGGGCCGGGGUACGGCCCAGAACCCCAAGGGGGGGCGGAGGGGGGGAUUUUGCAAAAUGGGGGGGAGGCUGAUGCAGCAACGCCGGGGGCGGGAUGAAGGGCUUCGGGGUGGAAACCGGUUUCGGCCAGGACGGAGGUGUGUGUGACGGUAGUGGGUAAAGAAGCACCGGCUAACUACGUG